CAUGGAUGGCUGUUGGCGGCUGGAGACCUCACUGACGGUGUCAUCCACUCAUCUCUUCCUUCUCAAUCUAUCGUCUCUUCUUCUCCAACCGUCUCCACUUCCUUCCGGGUAUGAGCUAUCGCUGCCGCCGCCCCCUCCUGCCAACCAGCGGUGCGUGAGGGAGCAAAGAAGAGCAAGCAAACACCAGGGCGGAGAAGCAAAUGAGUAGGCGGUUGUACUACCGACCAGUCUCUAAU
Non-coding RNA from Pelobates cultripes (western spadefoot toad), 236 nucleotides. NCBI's taxonomy places the organism in Eukaryota, Metazoa, Chordata, Amphibia, Anura, Pelobatidae. The record is from the annotation of a GenBank genome assembly.